RNAcentral lists this unclassified non-coding RNA (172 nucleotides) under uncultured Elaphomyces. RNAcentral describes it as "sequence contains ITS2". The record is from RNAcentral. Lineage: Eukaryota; Fungi; Ascomycota; Eurotiomycetes; Eurotiales; Elaphomycetaceae.
CCUUCACCUCCAAGCUUGGCUUGGGUGUUGGGCUGUUUGUCCCCCCGCUCCGUUCGUCGGGGACAGGCCUGAAAGACAGUGGCGAUGCCGUGGUCUGGAUCCCCGAGCGCAUGGGCUUCUCUCGCUCCAGGGGCCUGAUUGGCAUCCGCCGUUCCCUGCGGCGUUUGACUCC